RNAcentral lists this ribosomal RNA (253 nucleotides) under uncultured bacterium. RNAcentral describes it as "partial 16S ribosomal RNA". It matches the Rfam family "Bacterial small subunit ribosomal RNA", at positions 524 to 776 of the family's 1533-position model. The record is from RNAcentral.
UACGAAGGGGGCUAGCGUUGCUCGGAUUGACUGGGCGUAAAGGGCGCGUAGGCGGAUAGUACAGUCAGGCGUGAAAUUCCUGGGCUCAACCUGGGGGCUGCGUUUGAUACGUAUUGUCUGGAGUUCGGAAGAGGGUCGUGGAAUUCCCAGUGUAGAGGUGAAAUUCGUAGAUAUUGGGAAGAACACCGGUGGCGAAGGCGGCGACCUGGUCCGUGACUGACGCUGAGGCGCGAAAGCGUGGGGAGCAAACAGG